This 467-nucleotide ribosomal RNA is filed under the name uncultured bacterium. RNAcentral's name for it is "partial 16S ribosomal RNA". It matches the Rfam family "Bacterial small subunit ribosomal RNA", at positions 28 to 507 of the family's 1533-position model. The record is from RNAcentral.
GACGAACGCUGGCGGCGUGCUUAACACAUGCCAGUCGAACGGAAAGGCCUCUUUCGGGGGGUACUCGAGUGGCGAACGGGUGAGUAACACGUGAGUAACCUGCCCUUGACUUUGGGAUAACUUCAGGAAACUGGGGCUAAUACCGGAUAGGAGCUCCUGCUGCAUGGUGGGGGUUGGAAAGUUUCGGCGGUUGGGGAUGGACUCGCGGCUUAUCAGCUUGUUGGUGGGGUAGUGGCUUACCAAGGCUUUGACGGGUAGCCGGCCUGAGAGGGUGACCGGCCACAUUGGGACUGAGAUACGGCCCAGACUCCUACGGGAGGCAGCAGUGGGGAAUAUUGCACAAGGGGUGGAAGCCUGACGCAGCAACGCCGUGUGCGGGAGGACGGCCUUCGGGUUGUAAACCGCUUUCGCUCAUGACGAAGCUUUGUGUGACGGUAGUGGGUAAAGAAGCACCGGCUAACUACGUG